CCUCGCAAGAGGAAUUCGGAGACAGGUGCUGCAUGGCUGUCGUCAGCUCGUGUCGUGAGAUGUUGGUUAAGUCCCGCAACGAGCGCAACCCUUGUCUUUAGUUGCCAUCAUUAAGUUGGGCACUCUAAAGAGACUGCCGGUGUCAAACCGGAGGAAGGUGGGGAUGACGUCAAGUCCUCAUGGCCUUUAUGACCAGGGCUACACACGUACUACAAUGGCAGGUACAAAGGGCAGCCACUUAGCGAUAAGGCGCGAAUCCCGUAAAACCUGUCUCAGUCCGGAUUGGAGUCUGCAACUCGACUCCAUGAAGUUGGAAUCGCUAGUAAUCGCAGAUCAGCACGCUGCGGUGAAUACGUUCCCGGGCCUU
Molecule: ribosomal RNA, 367 nt
Filed under: uncultured Desulfocapsa sp.
Lineage: Bacteria; Pseudomonadati; Thermodesulfobacteriota; Desulfobulbia; Desulfobulbales; Desulfocapsaceae
Description: bacterial SSU rRNA
Rfam family: Bacterial small subunit ribosomal RNA
Source: RNAcentral